UACGGAAGGCAGCAGUGGGGAAUAUUGCACAAUGGGCGCAAGCCUGAUGCAGCCAUGCCGCGUGUAUGAAAAAGGCCUUCGGGUUGUAAAGUACUUUCAGUCGUGAGGAAGGUGUUAAGGUUAAUAACCUUAGCAAUUGACGUUAGCGACAGAAGAAGCACCGGCUAACUCCGUGCCAGCAGCCGCGGUAAUACGGAGGGUGCGAGCGUUAAUCGGAAUUACUGGGCGUAAAGGGCACGCAGGCGGUUAAUUAAGUUGGAUGUGAAAUCCCCGGGCUUAACCUGGGAAUGGCAUUCAAGACUGGUUAGCUAGAGUCUUGUAGAGGGGGUUAGAAUUCCAUGUGUAGCGGUGAAAUGCGUAGAGAUGUGGAGGAAUACCGGUGGCGAAGGCGGCCCCGUGGACAAAGACUGACGCUCAUGUGCGAAAGCGUGGGGAGCAAACAGGGAUUUAGAUACCC
This 457-nucleotide ribosomal RNA is filed under the name uncultured bacterium. Its description in RNAcentral is "bacterial SSU rRNA". It matches the Rfam family "Bacterial small subunit ribosomal RNA", at positions 340 to 787 of the family's 1533-position model. The record is from RNAcentral.